UGCACUCACUACUGUAAGUUGCUCUGGAUUAGAGCGUCUGCUAAAAUGACUAAAA
Molecule: non-coding RNA, 55 nt
Organism: Salmo salar (Atlantic salmon)
Lineage: Eukaryota; Metazoa; Chordata; Actinopteri; Salmoniformes; Salmonidae
Source: Rfam